Molecule: unclassified non-coding RNA, 3479 nt
Filed under: Hevea brasiliensis (rubber tree)
Lineage: Eukaryota; Viridiplantae; Streptophyta; Magnoliopsida; Malpighiales; Euphorbiaceae
Source: RNAcentral
GUUUGUUUCUUUCUUUCAACUUUCCUUUCGUUUCCUUCUCUUUCCUUUCUCUCAUUAUCUAUUGAUUGUGUAUCCGUCAAUCUGUUCGUUUCCUUUCCAAUUUCACAGCAAAACACAAUCUUUUACUGCAUCAUUCCUGUUUUUAUAAUCUCUACAGUUUCCAAUUCUUCUACCAUUGAGAUCGAAGGGAAACAACUGCAAAAGCAGAAAAACAGGAAUGGCAGUGGCUUUUCCUGUCGGAAUUGUCAUCGCUGCCGUACUUUCGCACGUUACACUUGUUCUUUCUUCUUUUCCGGCUACUCUUACUCUUGAGAGGGGGAUUCCUCCCAGUCAUAGGCUCGAGUUGAACCAGCUCAGAGAGCGAGAUAGCUUUAGGCAUCGUAGAAUAUUGCAGUCUGCUGGUGGUGUCGUGGAUUUCCCUGUUCAAGGAACCUUCAAUCCUUUCCUUGUUGGGUAAAUUUGUUGGUUGUUUGUAUUGUUCACGUGAUGUUGAGUUUUGGGUUCUUGUUUUUGUUCAUGUUUUGGUGGUUGGUAAUCAUGUGGUUGUACGGAUAUCCAAUUGGGGCAAAUGUAAACAAUUUAAUGCCUGUCGGUGGUUUCUUUGUUUAAGGGUCUUUAUGUUUCUACUUUCUAUUGUUUACAAGUUUCAUCGCUUUCAGGAUUGGAUUUGUUGUUCUGGGUUUCCAAUUUUGGAGUUUUUGACUAUGGAAUUUAGUAUUUUUCCUCGUUAUCUUUCAUGUUCGUUUUUAAUUGAACUAUGCAGCUUAGUUUUGUGGGCUCUUAGCGGCUUUUAUAUGGGACACAUUCACUUAUACACACGUAGAAACUUACAUAUGCAAUUGAGUUCGUAAUGGUUGUUACAUUGGAAGCAUAAAAGCUGCAUCUUGGAACCUGUAGAUUGUGCACUAAUUUUGGUGGUUUGAUACAGUGUACUCAUUUGAUUGUGUUAUAGGCUAUAUUAUACAAAAGUGCAGUUGGGUUCUCCUCCAAAAGAUUUCUACGUUCAAAUAGAUACUGGAAGUGAUGUUCUGUGGGUCAGUUGCAGCUCCUGCAAUGGUUGCCCCGUUACAAGUGGACUCCAAAUUCCACUCACUUCCUUUGAUCCUGGAAGCUCAUCAACAGCUUCAUUGAUCUCAUGUUCAGACCAACGAUGCACUGUUGGAAUUCAAUCAUCGGAUUCUCUCUGUUCUUCUCAAAGCAACCAGUGCGGCUACACGUUCCAAUAUGGGGAUGGCAGUGGUACAUCAGGCUAUUAUGUAGCUGAUUUUUUGCAUUUUGAUACGGUUCUUGGUGGAUCUGUGACUAAUAAUUCUUCAGCUGCUGUUGUCUUCGGGUGUAGCACAUUACAGACUGGAGACUUGACAAAGUCUGAUAGAGCAGUUGAUGGGAUCUUUGGUUUUGGGCAACAGGAUAUGUCUGUAAUCUCCCAGCUGGCUUCACAAGGGAUAACACCAAAGGUGUUCUCUCAUUGCUUAAAAGGAGAUGAUGCUGGUGGUGGUGUAUUAGUUCUUGGAGAAAUUGUGGAGCCAAAUAUUGUCUAUACUCCACUUGUCCCAACGCAGCCCCAUUAUAAUUUAAACCUACAGAGCAUAUCAGUCAAUGGCCAAACUUUAGCCAUUGAUUCAUCAGUUUUUGCAACAUCAAGCAAUCAGGGAACAAUAGUUGAUUCUGGAACAACCUUGGCAUACCUUGCUGAAGCAGCUUAUGAUCCGUUUGUCAAUGCUAUUACAACUAUUGUUUCACAAAAUGCACGCACAUAUCUUUCUAAGGGAAAUCAAUGUUACUUGGUCACCACAAGUAUUAAUGAUGUAUUUCCUCAAGUUAGUCUCAACUUUGCCGGAGGAGCAUCCAUGAUUUUAAAUCCUCAAGAUUACCUUCUACAGCAAAAUUCUGUUGUGAGUUGUUAAGAUUAUUAUUCAUUUACUUUUCUAUUUGUAGUUUAAGAAUAUAUCUGUAUAUAGUUCAUUUGCACAGAAGUUUGGAAUGAGAUGUCUGUCUCCUUCAAUUUAUUCUGUGGAAUUGAAUACUUGGUCUUGAUUGUUAAGAUUAUUAUUCAUUUACUUUUCUAUUUGUAGUUUAAGAAUAUAUCUGUAUAUAGUUCAUUUGCACAGAAGUUUGGAAUGAGAUGUCUGUCUCCUUCAAUUUAUUCUGUGGAAUUGAAUACUUGGUCUUGAUUUCCUUUUUUUUUUUUAUUGUUUCUUCUUCAAUUAGUUUUCCCCCUUUCUGAGUUCUACUUUUCUGUUAAAAUUGUUGGAGAAGUUAGCUUUUACAUUGUUCUUGCAUUUCUUUCGUAGAAAUCUGUUGACCUCUGAGGCUCUGAAUAAUAUUAUAAUGCCAAUUUUGAUAUCUUGUACAGCCCAAUCUUUGCUGCAAUAUUUGCACUCAAUUCAGUUUCUUGAUGUGUUGAAAUCUGAUGCUUUGGAGUGAUGAGGAAAUCAGUUGCUCUUUUCUAUUUUAUACCCACUAAUAUUCAUCUUUCUUCUUUUCUUUCAAAAAAACACAGAUUUUAACUUCAAAAUCAUCUUAAAUUUUAAUUCAUUUGUUUUGUGUUUCAUUCUAUAGGAGCAGUAGUAAGCUGCUACUACAUUUAUAUCCUCUUUUCUUUAUUUAAUUUUUUGUAUCCAAAUGUUACCCUUUGUUUCUACUGAAAGAUGGAAAUAUAUUCGGACAAUCUAUAAGCCUUCACAGUAAUCUGAAUACAUGCUUCUGUUUAAUAUUGUGCAGUAAUUUGAUCUGGUGUCUUGCAUCUCUAACUGGGAUAGUUGAAUUGGUAUUGCAGGGUGGAGCCGCAGUGUGGUGCAUUGGCUUUCAAAAAACUGCUGGUCAAGAAAUUACUAUCUUAGGAGAUCUUGUUCUUAAAGACAAAAUCUUUGUUUAUGAUAUUGCUAAUCAACGGCUUGGAUGGACUAAUUAUGAUUGUAAGUUGCUGCUGCCUUUUAUGUUUGGUAUCGAGACCACAUCGAAUUGAAAAAAUGUUUGUUCCCCAAACUUGUUUGAUUUUAGUCCUGCACCCAACUGAUCCUUUAUCUGUGAAUCCUGUCCUGUUAGGUUCAAUGUCUGUGAAUGUCUCGACAACUACAAAUACCGGCAAAAGCGAGUUCGUCAAUACAGGGAAUAUCAGUAACAAUAGUUCACCAAGGAAUGUACCUUACAAGCUGAUAUCAAUAACCAUGACAAUACUCCUGAAUAUCUUUACACUUGGAAGUUACCUGUUUUUAUAGCACGAGCUCUCAUUCUUUCUUUUGUAAUGCGCUGGCCGGUUUAUAUUUAUGGCAACCGGCAAAGCCAUGAACCCUUUAGUUCAUAUUCAGGGUGUGCAAUAGCAUGUGAUUCUUCAUUGUGGCUGCAUUUUCCUUGAGAAUAUUUUUCAUCAGCCAUGUAAGCUGAGAAUUUCAUCCAUUGAGAUUCCAUCUAUUGACAGCUUUGUAAAUUACAUUUCAUACAGGAUCAAUGAUGUAACGUCAGAAUUAAUUUUAUAG